RNAcentral lists this ribosomal RNA (455 nucleotides) under uncultured bacterium. Its description in RNAcentral is "bacterial SSU rRNA". It matches the Rfam family "Bacterial small subunit ribosomal RNA", at positions 339 to 791 of the family's 1533-position model. The record is from RNAcentral.
AUACGGGAGGCAGCAGUGAGGAAUAUUGCGCAAUGGAGGCAACUCUGACGCAGCCAUGCCGCGUGCAGGAAGACGGUCCUAUGGAUUGUAAACUGCUUUUAUACGGGAAUAAUACUCGGUACGUGUACUGGGAUGAAUGUACCGUAAGAAUAAGGAUCGGCUAACUCCGUGCCAGCAGCCGCGGUAAUACGGAGGAUCCAAGCGUUAUCCGGAUUUAUUGGGUUUAAAGGGUGCGUAGGCGGAAUUGUAAGUCAGUGGUGAAAUCUUGCAGCUUAACUGUAAAAUUGCCGUUGAUACUGCUAUUCUUGAGUAUAGUUGAGGUAGGCGGAAUGUGUAAUGUAGCGGUGAAAUGCUUAGAUAUUACACAGAACACCGAUUGCGUAGGCAGCUUACUAAGCUAUAACUGACGCUGAGGCACGAAAGCGUGGGGAUCGAACAGGAUUAGAUACCCUGGU